GUGGACACCCGACAGCAGACAUCGGGAAAAUCUAGAUUCGCCACAAAAAGGUACGACCGGAACAUUGGUAUCGGCAGCGGAAACCGAUCGCUAUAAUAAAGACGAAAGAGAGCAACUGCCCUACUAUUUUUAAACAUCCGUAUUUGGCCGAUGGUACGCGAAUUGCUAGCCGCGGGUGUCCUUGAAGCAGCAUAUUUUGCCAUUCGGUUGCCCGAGCAUCAGUUACGGCGAUCUGGAUGAGGAAAUGCCCAUCAGCGAUGAUGAAAAUCUGGGAAAGAUUGCCGAGCACAGAAGGUCACGGAAAAGAAGAAAAAGGUGGAAACUAUUUGACCUGAAUUCGAGACAACUUUCGCGACUGGUCAAGCUUGGUCAAGGGAAAGGCAGCCAGAAAAAGCUGAAGAUUAGGAUCCUAAGAGGAAUGAAGUUCAUCAUUCUGCCUUGUUGAGCGGGACUACGAGAGAAAAUAUAGUCCUCAUUAAGAAGAACCGCAAGAUGAUAGAGAAGGAGCAGGAUCGAUAACAGUGGCUGAGAGCCAUCGCAAUGGCAGAAUCGUGAAAAUUCAACAUUGCAUCACCCAUCGAACA
This is a long non-coding RNA of Uranotaenia lowii, 584 nucleotides long. RefSeq lists it as uncharacterized. The transcript is spliced from 3 exons. The record is from RefSeq and is a predicted model, not a curated record. Lineage: Eukaryota; Metazoa; Arthropoda; Insecta; Diptera; Culicidae.